GACAAAGAGCAAUAAUGAAGCAGACAAGAAGCAAUAAUGGAGCAGACAAAGAGCAAUAAUGGAGCAGAUACGACAAAAUCAAUGGAGACAAGAUACUGUACAAAAACAGAAUUAUUGUACAAUAUGUAACAAAAGUCUUACUUGUAAUAGUAGAACAUUAAUUAGGAUGUAGAAAAACUUUACGUAAAAGUUAGAAUAGUU
This 201-nucleotide long non-coding RNA is filed under the name Capsicum annuum. RNAcentral describes it as "long non-coding RNA (CANN_LNC004695)". The record is from RNAcentral. Lineage: Eukaryota; Viridiplantae; Streptophyta; Magnoliopsida; Solanales; Solanaceae.